GAUUGUGUUCAUUAUAUGUGUAGUGACUACUCCGCAGCAGCAGGGCGGCGCUAAUGCACCAAUUACGGGAAAUUUCACUUCCGGAAAGCCACCAAAAGAAGAGCCCAGUGACAUUCAAUCUUCGCCUGCUAAACUGAGUGCGACUAUUAUCAUAAUGAAUACGAUACUGACGUCUUUUUUCCGUCUGCGAGGAAUAACACAUUUAAGCAGAAUCCCAGCAGGACACCUCGUAGUAAAUGGGAAUCCUCACCUCAGAUUAUUUAGCAACUGGCUCACCCCCAGAGCUGCUGUGGAUUACCAGAGUCCAAGGAUCGGACCGCUUUCUUCCCAAACUGAGGGCGCAGGCAUCUUCCAGCAGCUCCCGUGGCAACGCCAGCAAGUUCGAACAAAGAAAAGAGGCACCGAGUAUCAGCCCAAAAACAUCAAACGCAAGAGAACCCACGGCUGGAUCAAGAGGCUCAGCACAAGAGGAGGUGUUGAGGUGCUCCUCCGGCGCAUGUUGAAGGAUCGCAAAUCACUCUCACACUGAACAUCCCAGCUGGAAAGGAGGACUUGUAAAGGAGAUGUAAAACUGUCCCAUCUUUGGGGGUAUGCUGCAAGCCGCGAGGGACUUGUGUAUUGUGUGGAAAAGUGAUACUAGGCGUGGGUUGGUUUCCAAGUUCAUCCUCAAUGGGUGGGUGGGAUUGAAGCAUUCAGAAACCGAGCCUUGAGAUUAGGUGAAUGAAAUUAAUAAACGAUCCUCAUCCAACUGUGGCUUGAGAAAUCACUGUUUUCCAACACCAAAUCCAAAUGAGAAACACAAAACUCACUCACGCUUUUUACUCACAUAAAGUAACUGGCUUAGUUUAAUUCAAACAUGCUUAAGGUGUGACGUUGACAUACCUCACCUUUACACUUGCACAAUUCCACAUGAAGCAGAGGUUCAUUAAGAAUAAAAAAAUUGCUAUGUACUGCAGUUCACUUUGUGUUUAACAUGUACCAGGUUACCAUUCACAAAUCCAAGAGGAUUAAGAAUUUGUAAUACAGAAGUAAGGUUGAUAAGGUAAACUACUUGAAAGAAGGUAUCUGGGUAAUAGCAAACUGCUUUUAAAUAACAAUUAUGAUAAAAGUAUGUUCAUGGAAAGUUGAUUCACCUGUACUGUUUUUGGUUGGAGUCCAGAGUGUCACGAACAGGAUAGAAAACAAGGUGUAAAUACAUAAAAGCUUUCAAUUUGAACAGCUUUCUCUAUGUAAAAAAAGAUUUCAAUUCCAAAAUGGCCGCCCCUUCAAUGUUGAGCAUCAAACGUCGCCGCCAUAUUGGAUGUGCCGCAGCUACGCUGUAAAUCAAUACAAGUAAAUGUACAUACUUAUUCAAUCAGCUAUAGAGCACAAAGUAGCAAUUAGUCAUGUGUGGGCUCAAUAUGAAUGUAAUAAAUUUACUUGUGUUGAAGUACAGCGCAGCCAUGACACAUCCAAUAUGGCGGCUACGUAGACGUACUCCUCAGCACUCGAUGCGACGUUUACGUCAACGUGUAUUUUUAGCCCAAAAGUGACCAAAGAUAAUAUAAUUAACAUGAUCAAACAUAAAAAUACGAGUUUUGUCUCUAAAGAACUGUGCUGUGGCGUCUUGUCCUUUUUGGAACACGGUGUUCUCAGGCUCCAGGGAGCAUGAUCUCGUCUAACUUGGAGACCACAACAAAGACGACGUACUGAACACAUCAUAGACAUUAAAGAGUUCGUUUAACUGGCCACAAAAACAGACAAAACGGCUCUCAACGAGUUUAAAAUAGACGGCUCAUUUUAUAACUUUUAAAACGCCGCCACUUGACAUGAAUAAGAGGGAUUUCUUAAGGGAACUGCCUGUUUUUAACAAGAACAACUUCAGCAAUUUUCACCCAGACUCUCAUCGUCAGCUUCCCGUCUAUCUCCCAACCCAUGAAUAUCCAUCAGAUCAGAUCAUUGUCCAAGAGAAGAUAGACAUCCUCUCACGAUAUUGUCUUCGAAAGUGGAAGUUUUUCCGAAUGCAGAAUGUCAGCAGCAGGAACAGGAGCAAGGCAAGACGUUGCCUCUCGGAAAAACUAUCUGAAGAUUAAUAAUAAUGAUAAUGACUUCCACUUGAUAUUAUUUACACAGCAUUAAAUAAAUGAAAGAUAAUGAUCAUAAA
This is a non-coding RNA of Doryrhamphus excisus (bluestripe pipefish), 2143 nucleotides long. NCBI's taxonomy places the organism in Eukaryota, Metazoa, Chordata, Actinopteri, Syngnathiformes, Syngnathidae. The record is from RefSeq and is a predicted model, not a curated record.